Molecule: long non-coding RNA, 296 nt
Organism: Betta splendens (Siamese fighting fish)
Lineage: Eukaryota; Metazoa; Chordata; Actinopteri; Anabantiformes; Osphronemidae
Exons: 2
Source: RefSeq, a predicted model, not a curated record
AAGUGUGGAUUUAUGAACAAAUACAUGUUGGUUGUUUUUUCCUGUGGUUUGUCUUCAGUGGUACAUUCUUCUUUAUGAAUCAAUUUGACCUGUUUUAAUUUAAAUGUAUGAAUGUCUGAUCAGGAACAGUGUCCUCUGACACUGAGUGCUCUGACUGCAGCAAUGGAACCUUAGAUGGACCACUCACAUCUUGUGGACCCCACACACAAUGUAAGACAAGAAAUCAUCAGCUGGUAAAAGCAGGAACAGCUUCAGCUGAUUCUCAAUGUGAAGAAAAACACACUACCAACAAAUCA